RNAcentral lists this ribosomal RNA (458 nucleotides) under uncultured bacterium. Its description in RNAcentral is "bacterial SSU rRNA". It matches the Rfam family "Bacterial small subunit ribosomal RNA", at positions 338 to 795 of the family's 1533-position model. The record is from RNAcentral.
CCUACGGGUGGCUGCAGUGAGGAAUUUUGCACAAUGGAGGUAACUCUGAUGCAGCGACGCCGUGUGUAGGAUGAAGGGGCUCUGCCCUGUAAACUACUGUCGGAUAGGAAUAAAAGUUGGGUUGCCCAACUGGGAAUGUACUAUCAAAGGAAGGAUCGGCUAACUACGUGCCAGCAGCCGCGGUAAUACGUAGGAUCCGAGCGUUGUCCGGAUUUACUGGGUAUAAAGGGUGCGUAGGCGGGUUUGUGCUUCAGAGGUUAAAGACCGCAGCUCAACUGCGGGAGUGCCUCUGAUAAGGCAAAUCUUGGAUAUGAGAGGGGUAGGUAGAAUUCCUGGUGUAGCGGUGAAAUGCGUAGAUAUCAGGAGGAAUACCAGUGGCGAAGGCGGCCUACUGGCUCAUAAUCGACGCUGAGGCACGAAAGCGUGGGGAUCAAACAGGAUUAGAUACCCCGGUAGUC